Phyllopteryx taeniolatus (common seadragon) is the source of this 5213-nucleotide long non-coding RNA. RefSeq lists it as uncharacterized. The transcript is spliced from 3 exons. The record is from RefSeq and is a predicted model, not a curated record. Lineage: Eukaryota; Metazoa; Chordata; Actinopteri; Syngnathiformes; Syngnathidae.
CGAGACGGGGAAGGCACGGAAGGAACACUGGAGACGGAGAAGAACACAAUCGGGGUCAGAUGCGGGUCGUAGGAUAGUUACUUUCAUAUCACAAAACCUGGAAGUACGAGAGUCGGCCGAGUUCCCAAGAGGCGAGCACGGCUAUCGGUGACCCCAGCCGACUACAACCCCUGCACAUCUAUGGGUAGCAGACGAGGAGAUUUUGAAAAAGGUGUACAAGAAGUAGUACAGUUUCUUCCCACAUCCGUUCUUGCUCUCAACUGUGAGCGUAACUGUGAAGAAUGCCAGAAGUGACUUCCUGAGGGCCCCUCGGACAGAUCAAGGCUGGGAAAACAGAUCGAAGCCGCAUGGCAGGCUUCGGACAGCGCCACCGUCGUGGUCCAAGGUCACUCGCGCCAUGUGGUCAUAAAACAAAGGAUAAAGAAAAGGGAAGGGGGGAGGGGUUGGCCAAAGCCACCCCGUAGCUGAAGAGAUGUUAGCUAAGAAGAGCAGAGAGUCAAGAGAGCGUGAGAAGGAUUGAGGCUUUUUCUGUGCCAACUGAUGUGGGGGAAAAAGACCCACACACACAGUCCUGGAGUCUCUAGAUCAAGUUGAGAGUUCUCACUUUUCAUUUUAAAUAUUAAUUAAGCUAGGUAUUGUUAGUCCAUCAGUGAGUCAGCCCUUACCCUCCAUGACCGAUUUAUUGACCGCGCACGUCAGUAUGAAUAAUUAACCCACAAUGCAUUGCGCGUUUAAAAUGCAGCCCUACGGGGGGCACAAGCCAGUGCAAACUGUAUGCCGGUCCCAAGCCCGGUAAAAUGCAGAGGGUUGCAUCAGGAAGGGCAACCGGCAUAAAACUUUGCCAAACAAAUCUGGGCCUUCAUCUAAAGAAUUCCAUACCGGAUCGGUCGUGGCCCAGGUUAACAACGUCCGCCCCCGGGACCGUUAACCUGCAGGGCGCCGGUGGAAAUUCAGCGACUGUGGGUCAAAGACAAAGGAGAGGUGGAAAGCGGGUUUUUAGGUAGAAAGAGAAGAGGAAAGCACAGACCCUAAAAUUGAAUGUGGGGACUUUGAAUUUUGGGACUAUGACAGGAAAUUCUCGGGAGUUGGUUGACAUGAUGAUUAGGAGAAAGGUUGAUAUAUUGUGUGUCCACGAGACCGGGUGGAAAGGCAGUAAGACUAGAAGUUUAGGGGCAGGGUUUACAUUAUUUUACCAUGGUGUAGAUGGGAAGAGAAAUGGAGUAUGGGUUAUUUUAAAGGAAGAGUUAGCUAAGAAUGUCUUGGAGGUGAAAAGAGUCUCAGAUCAAGUGAUGAGGCUGAAACUUGAAAUUGAGGGUGUUAUGUAUAACGUGAUUAGCGGCUAUGCCCCACAGGUAGGAUGUGACCUAGAGGUGAAAGAGAAAUUCUGGAAGGAGCUAGACAAAGUAGUUCUGAGCGUUCCAGACAGAGAGAUAGUCGUGAUUCGUGAAGAUUGUGAUGGACAUGUUGGUGAAGGAAACAGGGGUGAUGCAGAAGUAAUGGGUAAGUACGAUAUCCGGGAGAGGAACUUGGAGGGACAGAUGGUGGUAGACUUUCCAAAAAGGAUGUAAAUGGCUGAAGUGAACACUUUUUUCCAGAAGAGGCAGGAACAUAUGGUGACCUACAAGAGUGGAGGUAGAAGCACGCAGGUGGAUUACAUCUUGUGCAGACGAUGUAAUCCGAAGGAGAUUACCGACUGUAAGGUAGUGGUAGGGGAGAGUGUGGGUUGACAGCAUAUGAUGGUGGUGUGUAAGAUGACUCCGGUGGUGGGGAGGAAGAUUAAGAAGACAAAGGCAAAGCAGAGAACCAUGUGGUGGAAGCAUAGAAAGGAAGAGUGUUGUGUGGCUUUUCGGGAAGAGGUGACAGGAGCAGCUUCCAGAAGACUGGACCACUACAGCCCAGGUGAUCAGAGAGACAGGCAGAAGAGUACUUGGUGUAUCUUCUGACAGGAAAGGAGAGAAGGAGACUUAAUGGUGGAACCUCAAAGUACAGGAAAUCAUACAAGUAAAGAGGUUAGCUAAGAAGAAGUGGGACACAGAGAGGACCGAGGAGAGGAGAAAGGAAUACAUUGCGAUGCGACAUAGGGCGUAGGUGGCAAAGGCCAAACAAGAGGCAUAUGAUGGCAAGUAUGCUAGGUUGGAUUCUAGAGAAGGAGAAAAGGAUCAUACAGGUUGGCCUGACAGAGGGAUAGAGAUGGGAAGGAUGUGCAGCAGGUUAGGGUGAUGGAAAUAUGCUGACUGGUGCCAGUAUUGUGCUGGAUAAAUGGAAAGAAUACUUUCAGGAGUUGAUGAAUGAGGAAAAUGAGAGAGAAGGAAGAGUAGAAGAGGCAAGUGUGGUGGACCAGGAAGUGCAAUGAUUAGUAAGGGGGAAGUUAGAAAGGCACUAAAGAGGAUGAAAAAUGGAAAGGCAGUUGGUCCCGAUGACAUUCCUGUGGAGGUAUGGAAGCAUCUAGGAGAGGUGGCUGUGGAGUUUUUGACCAGCUUGUUCAAUGGAAUUCUUGCGGGUGAGAAGAUGCCUGAGGAAUGGAGGAAAAGGGUGCUGGUGCCCAUUUUUAAGAACAAGGGUGAUGUGCAGAGCUGUGACAACUAUAGAGGAAUAAACUUGAUGAGCCACAUAAUGAAGUUACGGGAAAGAGUAGUGGAGGCUAGAUUCAGGAAAGAAGUGAGUAUUUGCGAGCAACAGUAUGGUUUCAUGCCUAGAAAGAGUACCACAGAUGCAUUAUUUGCCUUGAGGAUGUUGUUGGAAAAGUACAGAGAAGGUCAGAAGGAGCUACAUUGUCUUUGUAGAUCUAGAGAAAGCCUAUGACAGAGUACCCAGCGAGGAACUGUGGUACUGCAUGCGGAAGUCUGGAGUGGCAUAGAACUAUGUUAGAAUAAUGCAGGACAUGUACGAGGGCAGCCGAACAGUGGUGAGGUGUGCUGUGGGUGUGACAGAGGAGUUUAAGGUGGAGGUGGGACUGCAUCAGGGAUCAGCCCUGAGCAAUUCCUGUUUGCAUUGGUGAUGGAAAGGCUGACAGAUGAGGUUAGACUGGAAUCCCCGUGGACCAUGAUAUUUGCAGAUGACAUUGUGAUCUGCAGUGAAAGCAGGGAGCAGCUGGAGGAACAGUUAGAAAGAUGGAGGCAUGCACUGGAAAGGAGAGGAAUUAAGAUUAGCCAAGAUUAGAUUAGUAAAGCAGACUACAUGUGCAUGAAUGAGAGGGGUCUAGGGGAAAGAGUGAGCCUACAGGGAGAAGAGAUAGCGAGGGUGGAGGACUUUAAAUACUUGGGGUCAACCGUCCAGAACAAUGGUGAGUGUGGUCAGGAAGUGAAGUGCAAGCAGGUUGGAAAGGGUGGAGGAAGGUGUCAGGUGUGUUAUGUGACAGAAGAGUCUCUGCUAGGAUGAAGGCCAAAGUUUAUAAAACAGUGGUGAGGCCAGCCAUGAUGUACGGAUUAGAGAAAGUGGCACUGAAGAGACAAAUGAAGAUGUUGAGGUUCGCUCUCGGAGUGACCAGGUUGGAUAAAAUUAGAAAUUGGCUCAUCAGAGGGUCAGCCAAAGUUAGAUGUUUUGGAGACAAAGUUAGAGAGAGCAGACUUCGAUGGUUUGGACACGUCCAGAGGAGAGAUAGUGAGUAGAUUGGUAGAAGGAUGAUGAAGAUGGAGCUGCCAGGGAAGAGAGCUAGAGGAAGACCAAAGAGAAGGUUGAUGGAUGUCGUGAGGGAAGACAUGAGGGCAGUUGGUGUUCGAGAGGAGGAUGCAGGCGAUAGGCUUACAUGGAAAAGGAUGACGCGCUGUGGCGACCCCUAAAGGGACGAGCCCAAAGGAAAAGAAGAAGAAUGCAUUGCACGUUUAAUGCCAGUAAAACUGUAUUCUUAAUGUGUAAAUAAAAACUCGGGAAAAUAACAAAAAUAGCGUGGCGAUAGGGAAAUCGUGUAUUUCUUUGCACUUUUAUGUUUCUGCACCAUCAUUGUGCAUUGUGAAAUAAACAAUCACUUCCCAAUCGCUUUCUUCUAUUUGUUGAAAAAAAGAGUGGUCUUGGUUUAAUGCUUCUGCACAUCCGAACUGCUUUUUGCUCGAAAAACCAGCUUCAAAUUAGUAUUUGGUGAGAGUCAAUGAUCCAAAAGUAACUAUUGUUGGUUUGAAGAAGUAACUGUAGUCUUGGAAAAAUAAUGCGUUACUUUGCUUGUUACUCAAAAUGGCGGUUUUUGGGAGUAACGCAUUACUUGCAAUGCGUUACUGGCAUCAUUGUUUAUUAUUGAUUAAAUACAAUCUAUUAAUGGGAAAGAAAUACUUGUGUUUUUAAUGUGAAUCAAUCAUGUUUAUUGGGAAGAAUGUGAAACAAACGGUGUUGAUCAUUUGCAUAUAGUUACAUCACUUCCUGUCAAAGUACUGUCGAAGUAUGAAAUGUCAAGUGUUGAGUGUAGCUGACUGGUUUCAAACUUGGCCUAGCAUUUGGUGCCUGCAAGGAAAUAUGGGAGAAUUCAUCCACUUUGAGAAACCCAUUUUCAGACAAUAGGUGCACAAUGCUCAAUAACAGGCCCAGUUGGAUCACCUGCGGUUUAAGGGACAUGACCCGAAAAUGCAACAACCGUGUUGAAAGACCCCGCCGUAGAUGCCCAAACCUCCAAAGGCAUUGAAGUGGGGGGAAAAGUUGGACAGUUGUACUGGCGCCCCAAGCGCAGGGGGCCCCCUGGGCAUUUGUAAAUAUUUGAAGAUUUUUCUUUUAUUUAAAUAUUUCGAUAAUAAUCAAAAGAAAAAAUGUCAUAAGUGUUGUAGCGGACACGCUAUGAAAAGAUAGCACCCCAGUCUCCGGCGAGACUCGCUCUUCCCACCGAGAUAGACAACCACGGAGUGGCGAGAAGUAACUUCACAUACAGACGCUAAAUGAAUCAACAGCCAUAAUCAACAGAAGCAAGACACAGACAUUUGCUUUGGCAUGCCUACGCUAAGUGAAUUACCAGCACCCGGAGCUUCAAAGCGGAGACCAGAGAUACCAAGUUCCCUCUAGGACGCGAAGUUAAUUAACUUCCACCGACAGCCAGCCCGGAGGAUUUCACCAACAAAGGCGCCUCCACGCUGUUGGGUACCGCGCCACUUGGGAGUUUGAACAGGCAACAGCGACACCCACAGGCGACGGAAUGGCACUACAGAGACGGGUUCAGGAAACAGUCUGUACCAGACUUAGCUGGGAGUUAAUAUUUGAAGAACUUGACAUGAACACUGUAUUGCUGCAAACUUCAA